GACGAACGCUGGCGGCGUGCUUAACACAUGCAGGUCGAACGGAAAGGCCCUGCUUUUGUGGGGUGCUCGAGUGGCGAACGGGUGAGUAACACGUGAGUAACCUGCCCUUGACUUUGGGAUAACUUCAGGAAACUGGGGCUACUACCGGAUAGGAGCUCCUGCUGCAUGGUGGGGGUUGGAAAGUUUCGGCGGUUGGGGAUGGACUCGCGGCUUAUCAGCUUGUUGGUGGGGUAGUGGCUUACCAAGGCUUUGACGGGUAGCCGGCCUGAGAGGGUGACCGGCCACAUUGGGACUGAGAUACGGCCCAGACUCCUACGGGAGGCAGCAGUGGGGAAUAUUGCACAAUGGGCGGAAGCCUGAUGCAGCAACGCCGCGUGCGGGAUGACGGCCUUCGGGUUGUAAACCGCUUUCGCCUGUGACGAAGCGUGAGUGACGGUAAUGGGUAAAGAAGCACCGGCUAACUACGUG
RNAcentral lists this ribosomal RNA (468 nucleotides) under uncultured bacterium. RNAcentral's name for it is "partial 16S ribosomal RNA". It matches the Rfam family "Bacterial small subunit ribosomal RNA", at positions 28 to 507 of the family's 1533-position model. The record is from RNAcentral.